This 440-nucleotide ribosomal RNA is filed under the name uncultured bacterium. Its description in RNAcentral is "partial 16S ribosomal RNA". It matches the Rfam family "Bacterial small subunit ribosomal RNA", at positions 338 to 795 of the family's 1533-position model. The record is from RNAcentral.
CCUACGGGAGGCAGCAGUGGGGAAUAUUGCACAAUGGGGGAAACCCUGUUGCAGCGACGCCGCGUGAGCGAUGAAGUAUUUCGGUAUGUAAAGCUCCAUCAGCAGGGAAGAAAAUGACGGUACCUGACUAAGAAGCCCCGGCUAACUACGUGCCAGCAGCCGCGGUAAUACGUAGGAGGCAAGCGUUAUCCGGAUUUACUGGGUGUAAAGGGAGCGUAGUCGGGUUGGCAAGCCAGAGGUGAAAGGCUGAGGCUCAACCCCAGGACUGCAUUUGGAACUGUCAUGCUAGAGUGUCGGAGAGGCAGGCGGAAUGCAUGGUGUAGCGGUGAAAUGCGUAGAGAUUAGGAGGAACACCAAUGGCGAAGGCGGCCUGCCAGACGAUGACUGACGUUGAGGCACGAAAGCGUGGGGAGCAAACAGGAUUAGAUACCCGGGUAGUC